Molecule: ribosomal RNA, 484 nt
Filed under: uncultured bacterium
Lineage: Bacteria
Description: partial 16S ribosomal RNA
Rfam family: Bacterial small subunit ribosomal RNA
Source: RNAcentral
AUUGAACGCUGGCGGCAGGCCUAACACGUGCAAGUCGAGCGGAUGAAGGGAGCUUGCUCCUGGAUUCAGCGGCGGACGGGUGAGUAAUGCCUAGGAAUCUGCCUGGUAGUGGGGGAUAACGUCCGGAAACGGGCGCUAAUACCGCAUACGUCCUGAGGGAGAAAGUGGGGGAUCUUCGGACCUCACGCUAUCAGAUGAGCCUAGGUCGGAUUAGCUAGUUGGUGGGGUAAAGGCCUACCAAGGCGACGAUCCGUAACUGGUCUGAGAGGAUGAUCAGUCACACUGGAACUGAGACACGGUCCAGACUCCUACGGGAGGCAGCAGUGGGGAAUAUUGGACAAUGGGCGAAAGCCUGAUCCAGCCAUGCCGCGUGUGUGAAGAAGGUCUUCGGAUUGUAAAGCACUUUAAGUCGGGAGGAAGGGCAGUAAGUUAAUACCUUGCUGUUUUGACGUUACCAACAGAAUAAGCACCGGCUAACUUCGUG